AUUUUAUAUCUCAAAUUCUUUUUUCCAAUUUUUACUUUUUGAUUAAUAUCAUUUUGUAGAGAGUAAAAAAACAUUGCAGUUGCGGGUGGAGGAUACAUUUGAUUUUUAAAAAAAGCAAGUACAUAUUAAUUAAUCUCAUAUUAUUAAGAUCUUCAUCGACUCUGUUUUUCUUUUUAAUGAUAUUCAUUACCUCUGUUUUUUUUUUUAAUCUCUGUUUUCUUCUUUGCUAGUAUGUAUGUAUAAAUAAAUUCAUAAUUUGCUGGAUUUGUGUUAAACCGUCAAGAAGACAAGGAAUUCCAUGAGCACGACCUGCAAUUGAAGCACCAAACUACAUGUAAGUAUUAACUAUAAUAAUAAAUUUAUGAAUUGCUUCUAUUAAUUCUAUUUGUUUGUAACUUAGAUUGUUCCCAUAAGUUUACAAAAAUAUAUAUUCAAUUUUAUAAUUCUCUUUUUCUUUUAAUAUAUAUAAAUUAGUUCCCUUAGGAAUAUAUAUAUAUAUAUAUAUAUAUAUAUAUAUAUUAGUUCCCUUAUGCUAAAGAAAUGAAUUCUUACAUAUUGCUUCAGUCCCAAAAUAUAAGCAAAAAUUGAUCAAUAAAAGUGAAUAUAUUUAGUCCAAAUUUUUAACCAAAUACAUCAAAUUUAUUUAACCCAUUUUUGUUUAUAUUUUUGGACAGAGGGAGUACGUAUUAACUAACAUAUUAGUGAACAAUAUGUUUUAUAUGAAUUUCGAUGUAUUUUAAAGUCAAUAAUUUAUUCAUAGUUAGUUGGUCCAAUGAUGAUUGACAUUAAACUUGAUAUGGAGAGCUGGAACCACUUAAUGCCAGAACUAAUAUCCAAAUCAAAUUAAGCAGUCAAGUGGACCAGAUACUAGUGUGAAAACUAAAAAAAUAAAAAUAAAGCCAUUAAUUUUAUCCAACAACAUCUAUAUGAAAUGGCGGGAUCUCUUCUAACUUGUCAAGAUUCUAGUUUGAUUUUUGACUUUGAUAUAUAGCAACGUUAAAAUUCAUAAAGAAAAAUUUAUCACUUAUUUAAAAGGCUCAAAAAAAUUAAUUUCUACAAUUACAUAAAAAAAAAUCCAAUUUCCAUCCAAAAUAAAUAAACAAAGACAAAUAACUAUUAGAUGCUCUAAACAAAUACCAGUAUUAAAAAAUAAAACUAUGUUGUUUUACUUUAAGCAUAAGCACGCAUGAUGAAAUGUGGACAUGUGGUUAAUGAGUUAAUGACUUGUCAUAACAUCUUAGCACAUUCUAAAAUCUAGAAGUAGAAAGUUUAGUUUGCAUUCCUCUUAUGUUUAGUUUUAAUUUAUUAUAAAAAAUAAAAAAUAAAAAAUAAAAACAUAUUUCGUUUUUAGCACUUUCUUAGUUAUUUAUUAUUUAAUUAUGGUCUUCAAUUAUCGCCAACAGAUAAUAAGAGUUAAGACAAAUUAGUUGUUAUUGAUUCCCCAAAUUAAAUAUAGGCCAAGACGCGGAAAAAGGACCUCAUUAUAAUUUUUUUGAGUAAAUAGAUGCUUACCCCGUAACAAAAGUAGGUGAAUUUUUGUUUACUCCCUGCAAUUUUUUUUUUAUGAUCCGAUGUAAUGUGAAAACUCUAUAGUUUAUUCUCCUCAUGCAAAAUAUUAACUUAAGAUUCCAUAAAAUUGAUGACGUGGCAUGGUCAGUCACGGGUAAACCAAAACUCGCUAGCUAACAUUACAAGGGAUAAAAGGACGAAAUCAUAAGUCAACAUUUGAGGAGGAUAAAUAAGAGAAUUUUCACAUCACAGGGGAUGAUCCAAUUUUUUUUUUACACAGAGAUAAAUCAAAAUUUGCCUAAUUUGUGUUGAGAAUAUAACAAGUGUGAAUUUGUGGAAAUGAUCCACAUUAGAUAGGAAUGUGGUAACUUGAGCAUUUAUAAGUGAGAGAACUCACUCAUCUAUUACCUUAAGGUUUUGGGUGGACAAGUGAUGUGUCAAAAGUGUAUUGCUCAAAAGAAAAAAUCCCACAAAAUUGAAUAUUCCUCGCUCGACCCUCUCCGAUUGUUAUAAAAGGUUGUAAUUACUUUGUGACUUUCAUCACUCAAUGAAUAAGAUUACAACAAAAUAUUCUCUCUUCUUCCUCAUUCUUAUUCCUUCAUAGUUUCUCAAAUUGUGUGUGUAUACAAGAACCAAGAUUCAAGUGUGUGUGCAUAUGCUGCAAACUGUGUUGCAGCAUCGUUGUUUAGGCUCAAGCUGCGCCAACACUUUGCACAGGAUAAAAAUCUAUUUACCUUUAUUUUUUUCUAAAAGCAAAAUGGUCAAACAACAUUUAGAGUGAUAAAAUAAAAGAAAAUAUGGGUCUGUUUUCUAUUUUUUUUGUCAAAUGUCUGUCUUCAUAUAUAUAUAUAUAUAUAUAUAUAUAUAUAUUAAAGAAAAUAUUCGGUAUACACUCAUAUGCGUGCAUCCUCCUUGUGAGAGAAAGAGAUGUAUAUGAGAGAUCAUUGUGAUAUGUGUGAUAAAUUAAUAAGGAUUUGUUUAGCCUAUCUAAUAUUGCACAUGUUAAAGCAACUAAAAGUAAUAAUUUUUAUUAAAAAAUAAUAAUAAUUUUUUAAAAAUUAUAUAAUUAAUAUAAAACUUAUAAUUUUCAAUACAAAUUUACUAUUUAGAAUUUCUUAACAUGUACAAAUUUCACAUGAUACAAAAAUCCUAUUAAGUUUGUCAAAAAAAAAUCCUAUUAAGAUUAAAAUGAGCGUAGUGAAAUAAAAAAUGUUCAAAUAUCAUAGAUAAUGUUUUAAAUAUCAUAUUUUUUUUUAGGGUCAUGUUAACAUAUGCACAAAGGGCACAUGUUAAGCUUCUAAAUAUAGAAAAUUGCAUUUAAUAUUCGAAAAAAAAUUAAUGUUUAAGAAGUUAAAUGCACAAAUUUCAAUAUAUUAUUUCUACUUUUGCUUCCUUAACAUGUGCCCUUGGUGCACAUGUUAACAUUUUCCUUUUUUUUAAUACAAAGUGAAUAAACUCUACUCCUAUAUUAUAGGGUUUUUAUCCAAUCAGAAUCGGACACAGAACUUAUUUCUUCUCUUCCCGCUAGCUCCUGCUCCUCCGCCUCUAUCAAAACAUAA
This 3068-nucleotide long non-coding RNA is filed under the name Trifolium pratense (red clover). Its description in RNAcentral is "long non-coding RNA (TPRA_LNC012628)". The record is from RNAcentral. Lineage: Eukaryota; Viridiplantae; Streptophyta; Magnoliopsida; Fabales; Fabaceae.